Molecule: ribosomal RNA, 1133 nt
Filed under: Dothideomycetes sp. genotype 428
Lineage: Eukaryota; Fungi; Ascomycota; Dothideomycetes
Description: eukaryotic LSU rRNA
Rfam family: Eukaryotic large subunit ribosomal RNA (bases 531-1133)
Source: RNAcentral
GAUCAUUACCGGGUUUAUAAGGAUGCGGCCUCCGGGUCGUCACCCUCCCAACCCUUUGUCUACCAUAACCCCACUAUCCUUCGGCGUGCGGCCCCCCUGUUCUUUGCGGGGGCGGCCCGCGCCGGUGUUUCCAAAACCUUAUUUUGAUGUCAACAGUGCCGUCUGAGCGUUUUUCUUGCAAAAGAAUAAAAACUUUCAACAACGGAUCUCUUGGUUCUGGCAUCGAUGAAGAACGCAGCGAAAUGCGAUAAGUAAUGUGAAUUGCAGAAUUCAGUGAAUCAUCGAAUCUUUGAACGCACAUUGCGCCCUUUAGUACUCUGAAGGGCACACCUGUUCGAGCGCUAGUUUAACAUAUUCAAGCUUAGCUUGGUGAUGAGGAAUAGGUAUACUAAUAUGGUAGGCCGCCUCGAAACGCAUAGGCGUUGCCGUCCGGCUCCGAGCGUAGCAAGCGAAAGCCCUCGCUCAGGAAUCGUCGGGUCGGCAGCCUGCCGUUAAAGCUUCUACCGCGUAACUGCGGUAUACCACGACUUUAGCCUCGGAUCAGGUGGGGAUACCCGCUGAACUUAAGCAUAUCAAUAAGCGGAGGAAAAGAAACCAACAGGGAUUGCCUUAGUAACGGCGAGUGAAGCGGCAACAGCUCAAAUUUGAAAUCUGGCGUCUUCGGCGUCCGAGUUGUAAUUUGUAGAGGAUGCUUCUGGCGCGGUACCGACCGAAGUUCUUUGGAACAGGACGUCAUAGAGGGUGAGAACCCCGUAUGCGUUCGGUACGCAGCCGCCAGUGCGAAGCUCCUUCGACGAGUCGAGUUGUUUGGGAAUGCAGCUCUAAAUGGGUGGUAAAUUCCAUCUAAAGCUAAAUACUGGCCAGAGACCGAUAGCGCACAAGUAGAGUGAUCGAAAGAUGAAAAGCACUUUGAAAAGAGAGUUAAAAAGUACGUGAAAUUGUUGAAAGGGAAGCGCUUGCAACCAGACUCGUCCGCGGGUGUACCGUUUGCCGUCAGGCGAGCGGGUACGCGCCCGCGGCCGGGCCAGCAUCGGUUUGGGCGGCCGGAUAAAGGCUACGGGAACGUGGCCCCCUUUCGGGGGGGUGUUAUAGCCCGUAGCGUAAUGCGGCCAGCCCGGACCGAGGACCGCGCU